Molecule: ribosomal RNA, 268 nt
Filed under: uncultured prokaryote
Description: partial 16S ribosomal RNA
Rfam family: Bacterial small subunit ribosomal RNA
Source: RNAcentral
UACGUAGGGGGCGAGCGUUGUCCGGAAUUAUUGGGCGUAAAGGGUUCGUAGGCGGUAAUACAUGUCAGAUGUGAAAUCUUGUGGCUUAACCAUGGUUAGCACUUGAAACUGUAUGACUUGAGUGCAGGAGAGGUAAGUGGAAUUCCUAGUGUAGCGGUGAAAUGCGUAGAUAUUAGGAGGAACACCAGUGGCGAAGGCGACUUACUGGACUGUAACUGACGCUGAGUCACGAAAGCGUGGGUAGCAAACAGGAUUAGAUACCCUGGUA